Molecule: long non-coding RNA, 379 nt
Filed under: Anser brachyrhynchus (Pink-footed goose)
Lineage: Eukaryota; Metazoa; Chordata; Aves; Anseriformes; Anatidae
Description: lncRNA (ENSABRG00000002239.1)
Source: RNAcentral
GGAAACAGUAGCUACUUCAGAUGACCCAGGCCAGAUUCUUGUCUUCAGCAAAACAUUAUGGCACCAGUUAAAUCAACAGAAUGACGUCAAUUUACUCUGAGAAUCCAGAAUUAAGGUGCUGAGAAACCUGAAGUGUCAUUGCUAAAGGCUGGAGUCUCCAAUGUCUUUAAGUGGUUUUGAGGAAACUGCUGUGCAUGAACCACCGUUACAUGAACCUGCGUCCCCAGCCUCCGAAGUGGGGGAUCUCCAGAAGACACAAAGAACUUUAUCUGAACUUCAUAUACCUGCAUUAAAGAGUAGAAUGGAAGAUAGCAUUUUACAGUUCAUCAGUAAGGCAGUUAUAAGUUUAAUUUUAAGACAGAAAAGGCUUUCAAUGUAA